CGUGAACGCUGGCGGUAGGCCUAACACAUGCAAGUCGAACGGCAGCACAGUAAGAGCUUGCUCUUACGGGUGGCGAGUGGCGGACGGGUGAGGAAUACAUCGGAAUCUACUUUUUCGUGGGGGAUAACGUAGGGAAACUUACGCUAAUACCGCAUACGACCUACGGGUGAAAGCAGGGGAUCUUCGGACCUUGCGCGAUUGAAUGAGCCGAUGUCGGAGUAGCUAGUUGGCGGGGUAAAGGCCCACCAAGGCGACGAUCCGUAGCUGGUCUGAGUGGAUGAUAAGCCACACUGGAACUGAGACACGGUCCAGACUACUACGGGAGGGAGCAGUGGGGAAUAUUAGACAAUGGGGGCAAGCCUGAUCCAGCCAUACCGAGUGGGUGAAGAAGGCCUUCGGGUUGUAAAGCCGUUUUGUUGGGAAAGAAAAGCAGCAGGUUAAUACCCCGCUGUUCUGACGGUACCCAAAGAAUAAGCACCGGCUAACUUCGUG
Molecule: ribosomal RNA, 492 nt
Filed under: uncultured bacterium
Lineage: Bacteria
Description: partial 16S ribosomal RNA
Rfam family: Bacterial small subunit ribosomal RNA
Source: RNAcentral